CAGCAGCCGCGGUAAUACAGAGGGUGCGAGCGUUAAUCGGAAUUACUGGGCGUAAAGCGUGCGCAGGCGGUUAUAUAAGACAGAUGUGAAAUCCCCGGGCUCAACCUGGGAACUGCAUUUGUGACUGUAUAGCUAGAGUACGGCAGAGGGGGAUGGAAUUCCGCGUGUAGCAGUGAAAUGCGUAGAUAUGCGGAGGAACACCGAUGGCGAAGGCAAUCCCCUGGGCCUGUACUGACGCUCAUGCACGAAAGCGUGGGGAGCAAACAGGAUUAGAUACCCCAGUAGUCCCUGUCUCUUAUAA
RNAcentral lists this ribosomal RNA (301 nucleotides) under uncultured bacterium. RNAcentral's name for it is "partial 16S ribosomal RNA". It matches the Rfam family "Bacterial small subunit ribosomal RNA", at positions 509 to 809 of the family's 1533-position model. The record is from RNAcentral.